This 436-nucleotide ribosomal RNA is filed under the name uncultured bacterium. Its description in RNAcentral is "partial 16S ribosomal RNA". It matches the Rfam family "Bacterial small subunit ribosomal RNA", at positions 30 to 507 of the family's 1533-position model. The record is from RNAcentral.
GCGAACGCUGGCGGCAUGCUUAACCCAUGCAAGUCGCGCGGGUGGUUUCGGCCAUCCGCGGCGGACGGGUGAGUAUCGCGUAGGAAUGUAUCCCGAGGUGGGGGACAACCCUGGGAAACUGGGGCUAAUACCGCAUGGGGCCUGUGGGUCAAAGCCUUAGGGCGCCUUGGGAGCAGCCUGCGUCCGAUUAGGUAGUUGGUGGGGUAAAGGCCUACCAAGCCUGCGAUCGGUAGCUGGUCUGAGAGGACGAUCAGCCACACUGGGACUGAGACACGGCCCAGACUCCUACGGGAGGCAGCAGUGGGGAAUAUUGGACAAUGGGCGCAAGCCUGAUCCAGCAAUGCCGCGUGGGUGAAGAAGGUCUUCGGAUUGUAAAGCCCUUUCGGCGGGGACGAUGAUGACGGUACCCGCAGAAGAAGCCCCGGCUAACUUCGUG